UACGUAUGUCGCAAGCGUUAUCCGGAAUUAUUGGGCAUAAAGGGCAUUUAGGCGGCCAGGCAAGUCUGGGGUGAAAACUUGCGGCUCAACCGCAAGCCUGCCCUGGAAACUGCCUGGCUAGAGUGCUGGAGAGGUGGACGGAACUGCACGAGUAGAGGUGAAAUUCGUAGAUAUGUGCAGGAAUGCCGAUGAUGAAGAUAGUUCACUGGACGGCAACUGACGCUGAAGUGCGAAAGCUGGGGGAGCGAACAGG
RNAcentral lists this ribosomal RNA (253 nucleotides) under uncultured bacterium. Its description in RNAcentral is "partial 16S ribosomal RNA". It matches the Rfam family "Bacterial small subunit ribosomal RNA", at positions 524 to 776 of the family's 1533-position model. The record is from RNAcentral.